GGGCACAGUGGUGCAUGCCUGUAGUCCCAGUUACUCGGGAGGCUGAGGUGGGAGGAUCACUUGAGCCCAUGCCGAUAGGGUGUCCACACUAAGUUCGGCAUCAAUAUGGUGACCUCCCAGCAGCAGGGGACCACCAGGUUGCCUAAGGAGGGGUGAACCGGCCCAGGUUGCAAAUGGAGCAGGUCAAAACUAAAACUCCCAUGCUGAUCAGUAGUGGGAUCGUGCCUGUGAAUAGCCACUGCACUCCAGCCUGGGCAACAUAGUGAGACCCCAUCUCUU
This 279-nucleotide signal recognition particle RNA is filed under the name Callithrix jacchus (white-tufted-ear marmoset). Its description in RNAcentral is "Metazoan signal recognition particle RNA (ENSCJAG00000047261.3)". It matches the Rfam family "Metazoan signal recognition particle RNA". From Rfam's summary of the family: The signal recognition particle (SRP) is a universally conserved ribonucleoprotein. It is involved in the co-translational targeting of proteins to membranes. The record is from Rfam by way of RNAcentral. Lineage: Eukaryota; Metazoa; Chordata; Mammalia; Primates; Cebidae.